GGUUUACCUGUGUGACUGCGUACCUUUUGUAUAAUGGGUCAGCGACUUAUAUUCUGUAGCAAGGUUAACCGCAUAGGGGAGCCGGAGGGAAACCGAGUCUUAAUUGGGCGUUAAGUUGCAGGGUAUAGACCCGAAACCCGGUGAUCUAGCCAUGGGCAGGUUGAAGGUUGGGUAACACUAACUGGAGGACCGAACCGACUAAUGUUGAAAAAUUAGCGGAUGACCUGUGGCUGGGGGUGAAAGGCCAAUCAAACCGGGAGAUAGCUGGUUCUCCCCGAAAGCUAUUUAGGUAGCGCCUCGUGAAUUCAUCUCCGGGGGUAGAGCACUGUUUCGGCUAGGGGGCCAUCCCGGCUUACCAACCCGAUGCAAACUGCGAAUACCGGAGAAUGUUAUCACGGGAGACACACGGCGGGUGCUAACGUCCGUCGUGAAGAGGGAAACAACCCAGACCGCCAGCUAAGGUCCCAAAGUCAUGGUUAAGUGGGAAACGAUGUGGGAAGGCCCAGACAGCCAGGAUGUUGGCUUAGAAGCAGCCAUCAUUUAAAGAAAGCGUAAUAGCUCACUGGUCGAGUCGGCCUGCGCGGAAGAUGUAACGGGGCUAAACCAU
This 607-nucleotide ribosomal RNA is filed under the name Salmonella enterica subsp. enterica. Its description in RNAcentral is "partial 23S ribosomal RNA". It matches the Rfam family "Bacterial large subunit ribosomal RNA", at positions 582 to 1190 of the family's 2925-position model. Lineage: Bacteria; Pseudomonadati; Pseudomonadota; Gammaproteobacteria; Enterobacterales; Enterobacteriaceae. The record is from RNAcentral.